GAUUGAGUUAUUUUCUGUUAUGUAAUUAGCAAUAGGAUUGCUAUUUAUGAAAUGUGCUGAUCUAUUUGUGAAAUGAGUCAACAUAUUUGGUGAACAGAAAAUAAAACCUUUCAAAUUUGAAAAUUGUUUUCGAAAUGCCAAACCCUGACCCAUCAGCCCAAAUACUUAAUUAAAAGAAUUAAGUAUUGUCUAGUAGGUCUAGAAUUGUGAAUUAAGACCUAAGACAAUUGCAUAAACUUGUGGGUCAAUAGGUUAGAUGGAUUAGGUCCAUAAUUGGGUUAGACCUAAGGUUAGCUUAAAGAAAUGGACUAAAUUAGAGUAAUUGAUCAAAUCAAAUCAAAAAUUGAAUUAGAUUAGGUCAAGGAUACUCUAGACUCAACUCCAAUAGUUGUAGUUGAAUGGGUCCAUGUCUUUAACUAGACCAAGAUGGACUUAAUUCAUGGCUACGCGGUGGAAUCCUAUUUA
This 465-nucleotide long non-coding RNA is filed under the name Elaeis guineensis (African oil palm). Its description in RNAcentral is "long non-coding RNA (EGUI_LNC053205)". The record is from RNAcentral. Lineage: Eukaryota; Viridiplantae; Streptophyta; Magnoliopsida; Arecales; Arecaceae.